This 296-nucleotide long non-coding RNA is filed under the name Coffea arabica (coffee). Its description in RNAcentral is "long non-coding RNA (CARA_LNC005673)". Lineage: Eukaryota; Viridiplantae; Streptophyta; Magnoliopsida; Gentianales; Rubiaceae. The record is from RNAcentral.
UAGAAAUAUAACCCACAGGAUAACAACAAAUAAAUGAAUUUCUCAAUGAACUUGCAGCGGAAUAGUGUAACCAAUGAAUAAAGCAACGGUACCAGAAACGAAAUAGAGACAGAAGCAUAAGAAGCUCCAGGAGGCAAUGCCAAUAUUUAUUUAUAAGAACUCAGCUUUUACACAUGCUUAGACAACCGGCAGACUAGUACUACACAUAUAUAUAUAGGUACCAAGUCUCCAUAUUGCUCAGGGAUCCGCACCAUCUAAUAAAUCAAAGACCACAUUGGAAUAGGACAUCAAGCAUC